ACUCUCUGUGAUAACCAACAGACCAGUCAAAGUUGAGAGGGGGAGAAAGAACAAGAGGCCUUUGAUCCAUCCUGUAACAUUGUAUGUGUUGCACCCUAACUCAAUUUUUAAAAAGAAGACAACAAGACAACAAGCAUGUGGUGUCAUCGGGCAUCAAGGCAGGAAACACCCUGGACGGAGUGCCAACCCAUCGCAGGGCACACACACUCUCAUUCACUCACACAAUCACACACUACGGACAAUUUUCCAGAGAUGCCAAUCAACCUACCAUGCAUGUCUUUGGACCGGGGGAGGAAACCGGAGUACCCGGAGGAAACCCCCGAGGCACGGGGAGAACAUGCAAACUCCACACACAAGGCGGAGCCACCAACCACCAACCCUGGAGGUGUGAGUCGACCGUGCCCCCCCAAUAGGUUUCUGACUUCAACCAUUUG
Molecule: long non-coding RNA, 434 nt
Organism: Tachysurus vachellii
Lineage: Eukaryota; Metazoa; Chordata; Actinopteri; Siluriformes; Bagridae
Exons: 3
Source: RefSeq, a predicted model, not a curated record